GCCACCCUAGCUCAGUUGGUAGAGCAACUCACUCGUAAUGAGUAGGUCGCCAGUUCGAUUCUGGCGGGUGGCUCCA
Molecule: transfer RNA, 76 nt
Filed under: Gemmatimonadota bacterium
Lineage: Bacteria; Pseudomonadati; Gemmatimonadota
Also listed under: 1 other name
Description: Gemmatimonadetes bacterium tRNA-Thr
Rfam family: tRNA
About the family: Transfer RNA (tRNA) molecules are approximately 80 nucleotides in length.
Source: RNAcentral